RNAcentral lists this ribosomal RNA (461 nucleotides) under uncultured bacterium. Its description in RNAcentral is "bacterial SSU rRNA". It matches the Rfam family "Bacterial small subunit ribosomal RNA", at positions 41 to 498 of the family's 1533-position model. The record is from RNAcentral.
GGCAUGCCUUACACAUGCAAGUCGAACGGCAGCACGGAGCUUGCUCUGGUGGCGAGUGGCGAACGGGUGAGUAAUAUAUCGGAACGUACCCAGGAGUGGGGGAUAACGUAGCGAAAGUUACGCUAUACCGCAUACGACCCAAGGGUGAAAGUGGGGGAUCGCAAGACCUCAUGCUCAUGGAGCGGCCGAUAUCUGAUUAGCUAGUUGGUGGGGUAAAGGCCUACCAAGGCAACGAUCAGUAGCUGGUCUGAGAGGACGACCAGCCACACUGGAACUGAGACACGGUCCAGACUCCUACGGGAGGCAGCAGUGGGGAAUUUUGGACAAUGGGGGCAACCCUGAUCCAGCAAUGCCGCGUGAGUGAAGAAGGCCUUCGGGUUGUAAAGCUCUUUUGUCAGGGAAGAAAAGGUCGCAGCUAAUAUCUGUGGCUCAUGACGGUACCUGAAGAAUAAGCACCGGCU